GGAAGCGAUAGUGAAUGCAGAUUGAACGCUGGCGGGAUGCUUUACACAUGCAAGUCGAACGGCAGCACGGACUUCGGUCUGGUGGCGAGUGGCGAACGGGUGAGUAAUGUAUCGGAACGUGCCUAGUAGCGGGGGAUAACUACGCGAAAGCGGAAGCAAUACCGCAUACGCCCCGGGGGAAAGCGGGGACCUUCGGGCCUGCACUAUUAGAGCGGCCGAUAUCGGAUUAGCUAUAGUUGGUGGGGUAACGGUCACCAAGGCGACGAUCCGUAGCCAGUUUUAUGGCGACACCACACACCGGGACUGAGACACGGCCCAGACUCCUACGGAGGCAGCAGUGGGGAAUUUUGGAUAAUGGGAAACCCUGAUCCAGCCAUCCCGCGUGCGAUGAAGGCCUUCAAGCCAAAGCACUUUUGGCAGGAAGAAACGGCACGGAUAAUACCCGUGCAACUGACGGUACCUGCAGAAUAAGCACCCGGCUAACUACGUGCCAGCAGCCGCGGUAAUGUGUGUAGGGUGCAAGCGUUAAUCGGAAUUGAUUAUGCAGCGUGCGCAGGCGGUUCGAAAGAAAGAUGUGAACCGCAUAUUAACUUUGAACUGCAUUUAAACCAUUGAGCUGGAGUGCGUGUCAGAGGAGGGAAUUCGCGUAGCAGUGAAAUGCGUAGAUAUGCGGAGGAACACCGAUGGCGAAGGCAGCCUCCUGGAAGUAACACUGACGCUCAUGCACGAAAGCGUGAGCAAACAGGAUUAGAUACCCUGCAGAGUCCACGCCCUAAACGAUGUCAACUAGCUGUUGGGGCCUUCGGGCUCAGGGCGAGCGCACGUGGGUGAAGUUGACCGCCUGGGGAGUACGGUCGCAAGAUUAAACUCAAAGGAAUUGACGGGGACCCGCACAAGCGGUGGAUGAUGUAAUUAAUUCGAUGCAACGCGAAAACCUUACCUUACCCUUGACAUGUCUGGAAUCCCGAAGAGAUUUGGGAGUGCUCGCAAGAGAACCGGAACACAGGUGCUGCAUGGCUGUCGUCAGCUCGUGUCGUGAGACGUUGGGUUAAGUCCCGCAACGAGCGCAACCCUUGUCAUUAGUUGCUACGAAAGGGCACUCUAAUGAGACUGGCGAAACCGGAGGAAGGUGGGGAUGACAAGUCCUCAUGGCCCUUAUGGGCAGGGGUCACGACAGGCCGCAAUGGUCGGGACAGAGGGUCGCCAACCGCGAGGGGGAGCCAAUCCCAGAAACCCGAUCGUAGUCCGGAUCGCAGUCUGCAACUCGACUGCGUGAAGUCGGAAUCGCUAGUAACGCGGAUCAGCAUGUCGCGGUGAAUACGUUCGGUCUUGUACACACCGCCCGUCACACCAUGGGAGUGGUUUUACCAGAAGUAGUUAGCCUAACCGUAAGGAGGGCGAUUACCACGGUAGGAUUCAUGACUGGGGUGAAGUCGUAACAAGGUAACCCCAGCAUACCGAUA
This 1463-nucleotide ribosomal RNA is filed under the name uncultured Bordetella sp. Its description in RNAcentral is "partial 16S-23S ribosomal RNA intergenic spacer". It matches the Rfam family "Bacterial small subunit ribosomal RNA". The record is from RNAcentral. Lineage: Bacteria; Pseudomonadati; Pseudomonadota; Betaproteobacteria; Burkholderiales; Alcaligenaceae.